UUUAAAGCACCAUUUUAAAUAGAGCCUGCUCCCUGAUAUAUAUAUAUAUUAAAGAGCCGCAGUACCCUAACUGUGCAAAGGUAGCAAAAUAAUUUGUCUCCUAAUUAAAGACUUGAAUGAAUGGCCUGACGAAGAAAUAUCUAUCUCUACUAUUAAAAAAAAAUUAACAUGUAAGUCAAAAGGCUUAACAUAAACUAGCAAGACGACAAGACCCUAUAAAACUUUACCUUUUAAAAAAUCACUAUCACAGAUCUAACCAAAAUAAAGGGUUUCACUGGGGCAGUAUUUAUACAAUAUAUAACUAUACUAAUCUAAACAUAUAUAAAUGAAUUAAUAAACCUUAAUUAAAAUAUAAAAACAAGUUACUUUAGGGAUAACAGCAUAAUAUUCUUUAAGAGCCCUAAUCGACAAGAAUGAUUAUGACCUCGAUGUUGAAUUGGGGAACCUUCCAAAAGCAGAUAUUUGGACAGAAAGUCUGUUCGACUUUUAAACCCCC
This 496-nucleotide ribosomal RNA is filed under the name Eophreatoicus bodmemurrngkudji. Its description in RNAcentral is "partial large subunit ribosomal RNA". It matches the Rfam family "Bacterial large subunit ribosomal RNA", at positions 1832 to 2597 of the family's 2925-position model. The record is from RNAcentral. Lineage: Eukaryota; Metazoa; Arthropoda; Malacostraca; Isopoda; Amphisopidae.